AGAGGGUGCGAGCGUUAAUCGGAAUAACUGGGCGUAAAGCGCGUGUAGGUGGACGUUCAAGUCAGAGGUGAAAUCCCCGGGCUCAACCUGGGAACUGCCUCUGAAACUGUGUGUCUAGAGUAUGGGAGAGGGAAGUGGAAUUUCCGGUGUAGCGGUGAAAUGCGUAGAUAUCGGAAGGAACACCAGUGGCGAAGGCGGCUUCCUGGCCUAAUACUGACACUGAGACGCGAAAGCGUGGGUAGCGAACAGGGAUUAGAUACCCUGGUAGUCCACGCCGUAAACGAUGAGAACUAGACGUUGGGAGCCGAGAGUUCCUUAGUGUCGUAGCUAACGCGUUAAGUUCUCCGCCUGGGGAGUACGGCCGCAAGGCUA
This 372-nucleotide ribosomal RNA is filed under the name uncultured organism. RNAcentral describes it as "partial 16S ribosomal RNA". It matches the Rfam family "Bacterial small subunit ribosomal RNA", at positions 527 to 896 of the family's 1533-position model. The record is from RNAcentral.